AGGAGGAGUUGGGCCCGUGGUCGACGCUUGUUUGGUGUUUUGUAAUACACCGAGCCCAGGAAGACAAAUUGAGAGGUUGACUUUGGAAAUAGUAAACCUGCCAGAGCAGUGACAAGGAGCUUGCUUGCGCUGUUGUGACCACUUGGGCCAAAAAGGGACUUCAACAAUAGCGGAUGGAAGAGGAGAAAGCCCAACGAAUAUGCAACUUCUUCAAAGUGAUCUGCAGGCAGGCAGGCAGAGCCAAAGCGGCGGCGGCGGCGGCGGCGGCUUCGGCCUCUCGCACGCAGGAGUCGGCUUACAGUGACGAGAUGACUGACAUAGGGUGAUGGCCAUUCGUCUGGGUGUCGCUGCAUUCCACUUUCAUGUUUUAUUUCAAGAGCAUGAAUAACAGCUCUCAUCACACUGCCAGAGUAUUCUUGCAGCGCUUUCAAAGCUUGAGCUAUUUGCUCAAUGCCAUCAAAAAGUCAAAGUCAGCAGGGCCACCUAGGGCAGCUGCUGCUGCUGCUGCUGCUAGUUUUUACAAGUUGAGCAAUUCAAUCAACAGGAGUAAGCUCUGUCCAAAGCAUCUGGUGAGAUGAUCAAAAGUCCCCCAAACAAUGCACACAUCUGGGAAAAUGUGUAAAGGAUCCGCGAGACCAACGGCAGAUACCAAAUGCCAUGUCUGGUUGAUGUUUUGGCCGCAAAUCGCCUGCGUGCCUCUCCUCAGGUCAGGACGGACAGAAGAUGAAUGCUCAUAGGCACAGUGGGCAUUCUCCAAAAGACUCGGAGUAACGUAAAUUGUCAUGACGUUUGGAGGGGGAGGAAAAUGCAAACUCCAGAAUCAAAGUACGUAUGAGCAGGGCAAUAGUAUUUCAAAUCGUUUGAAAUGUACAUUGCAAGGCAGACGUGGACCAGAGAUGGACCAGAGGUGGACCAGAGAUGGACCAGAGAUGGACUAGAUAUGGACCAGAUAUGGACCAGAUUCCACAAGAUUCGCUCACUGCGAUGUUGGUUCGACCUGAGAUAGAUAGGAUUUGAAAAUUCCAUUGCAGCUAGCCAGGCAGCCAGGCAGCCAGGC
Syngnathus typhle (broad-nosed pipefish) is the source of this 1057-nucleotide long non-coding RNA. RefSeq lists it as uncharacterized. The transcript is spliced from 3 exons. The record is from RefSeq and is a predicted model, not a curated record. Lineage: Eukaryota; Metazoa; Chordata; Actinopteri; Syngnathiformes; Syngnathidae.